RNAcentral lists this long non-coding RNA (644 nucleotides) under Helianthus annuus (common sunflower). The record is from RNAcentral. Lineage: Eukaryota; Viridiplantae; Streptophyta; Magnoliopsida; Asterales; Asteraceae.
AUGGUGGCUCAUCAUAUGUUUUCGGUUACCACUGGCUUGUGAACGAAUUUUGGAGUAUCUUAGAGACUACUUGGAGCUUGAAACAAUCGGGGAUCAUUAGUUCUUGAUGUUGGAAUUGUUCUUGAAGAUUAAAACUUGUUUGACAAUGUUUAUUCAAGCCAUGAGUGGCUAAGUAUUUUGUGACUAUCUUUGGUGGAUGGUUUGCAAGACAUUUAUGUGUAUUUCCUUAUUUCUAGAAUAACAAUCUUCUCUUUAUUGAAUUGCUUGUUAUGGUAUAUGAUUGUUUGUUAGUAAAUUGUUAAUCCUUAUGUUGAACUAAUUAGAAACCAUACGUUCUUGGUGCCGUUGGCAAUCGAGAUAUCAUGGGUAUAGUUAGGCUUGGGUAACAGGUUAAUUGAUCAUCGGGUAACAACCUCACAUUCUAGGAAUCUGAGUACUUAGUUCCCUUUCAUCACUGCAAUCGAUCAUAUAUGAACUAUGUCUAUGUAGUUCUUUCUAGUGGAAUGUUAGCAUAAGUGUCAUAGCAAACCGGAAACUAAAGAUGGUUACUUGUCUCUAAAUUGUUUACAACCGAAAUUUUUCUCUUUCAAUUUAAUUAGUUAAAUUUAGUUCUAAAACCAAUUCACUCACAUAAAAUCUUGAAU